UUUGAACGCUGGCGGCAGGCUUAACACAUGCAAGUCGAGCGGGGGAAGGUAGCUUGCUACCGGACCUAGCGGCGGACGGGUGAGUAAUGCUUAGGAAUCUGCCUAUUAGUGGGGGACAACAUCUCGAAAGGGAUGCUAAUACCGCAUACGUCCUACGAGAGAAAGCAGGGGAUCUUCGGACCUUGCGCUAAUAGAUGAGCCUAAGUCGGAUUAGCUAGUUGGUGGGGUAAAGGCCUACCAAGGCGACGAUCUGUAGCGGGUCUGAGAGGAUGAUCCGCCACACUGGGACUGAGACACGGCCCAGACUCCUACGGGAGGCAGCAGUGGGGAAUAUUGGACAAUGGGGGGAACCCUGAUCCAGCCAUGCCGCGUGUGUGAAGAAGGCCUUAUGGUUGUAAAGCACUUUAAGCGAGGAGGAGGCUACUUUAGUUAAUACCUAGAGAUAGUGGACGUUACUCGCAGAAUAAGCACCGGCUAACUCUGUGCCAGCCGCCGCCGUAA
This 501-nucleotide ribosomal RNA is filed under the name uncultured bacterium. Its description in RNAcentral is "partial 16S ribosomal RNA". It matches the Rfam family "Bacterial small subunit ribosomal RNA", at positions 30 to 523 of the family's 1533-position model. The record is from RNAcentral.